RNAcentral lists this long non-coding RNA (1147 nucleotides) under Monodelphis domestica (gray short-tailed opossum). Its description in RNAcentral is "lncRNA (ENSMODG00000043246.1)". Lineage: Eukaryota; Metazoa; Chordata; Mammalia; Didelphimorphia; Didelphidae. The record is from RNAcentral.
CUUUCCCUUUCAGUUAUUAUUUUAACCUUUACGAGCCUAAUGGGCUGCUCAGGCAAGUAGAUGGAUGUGAUUUUUUUGCCAGCAGUCACUAAUACAAACAGGCCACAUCACAAUGAUAAGCCCUGUGUGUGAUCCAUGGGCUUCUGCAGCUCCCAGUCACCUGAGGACUACUCCCAGACAAAGGUGUCCCAGAGUGAAGCAGGAUGAGACAAGGGGCCAUUGAGUGCUAACAAUGAGCUACCCACCCUUCCUGGCUAUAGACUACUUCCUCAAAGAGCUUCCCCUGAUGGGGGCAGGAAACAAGGGGGCAAAGCAAGAAUUGCUGUGAAGCCAUACGGACUUAUCUACUCUUUCUGGAUCUGCUCACUUUCUAGUGAGGAGAUUAGUGAAGUGGGUCCAAAGAAAGGAAGCAUGAAGCCCAUAGAAACCAAUAUUUUCCCCUUAGGAGUACAUGAAAACUCAUCCAGGUCCUUUGCAACUGGUUUGACUGAAAGAACCCUUUGUCAGUCUGGGGAAGCCCAUGAACCUCUUCUCAGAAUAAUAUUUUGAAGUGAAUAAAACACACAGAAUAACAAAAGGAACCAAAGAAAUUCCAAAGAGGGUUAUCCUUGCCCUCAGGAGUGCCUGUGCCUGCCAUGAUAAUUUCAAUCUACUACAUUAUGGGAUCUGGAGCUUCUUCUGGCACUUGUAUUAGUAUUAUCCCAUUCUGAGAUGGUGUAUUUGCCUUUCUCUGUGUUAUAGAUUUGGACUGAAGGAAACCUCAGAAAGCCUAUUGUACUUUGGCUCCUCUCUGAGAAGGUCAUAAUAAUCCUCAUUCUCUUACAUAUUCUGAAAGAAGCUAAAGAGAAAAUCUACAAAUAAGACAAAGAUUUAGCUGGCCCAAUAUGUGUGGUCCCUGAAAUAUAAUGGUCGCCGAAAUUGUGAAAUUAGAGUCUGUUUUAUUGUAUCCAAAUAACCAAGAUCUUUAACUUAGAUGAAAGUGAAAUUGGGGGGUUCCCCUAGAUUCUGAUGAUCCUUUAUCCUUCUGUUACCUUUUAUAAAGUACUCACAAGGGUCACGUAUGAAGCAGAUCAAUCUUGUUCUCUUCUAGCCCAGAUUCUAUAAUGAAAGAGAAAGCAUAAGGGAUGUUAUUACCUGAGAAUGAUUC